This 19-nucleotide microRNA is filed under the name Drosophila ananassae. RNAcentral describes it as "miR-10-RA". Lineage: Eukaryota; Metazoa; Arthropoda; Insecta; Diptera; Drosophilidae. RNAcentral also lists the same sequence under 5 other names. The record is from RNAcentral.
CCUGUAGAUCCGAAUUUGU